GUGGGGAAUAUUGCACAAUGGGGGAAACCCUGAUGCAGCAACGCCGCGUGAGUGAUGAAGGUCUUCGGAUUGUAAAACUCUGUCUUUGGGGACGAUAAUGACGGUACCCAAGGAGGAAGCCACGGCUAACUACGUGCCAGCAGCCGCGGUAAUACGUAGGUGGCAAGCGUUGUCCGGAUUUACUGGGCGUAAAGGGAGCGUAGGCGGAUUUUUAAGUGGGAUGUGAAAUACCCGGGCUUAACCUGGGUGCUGCAUUCCAAACUGGAAGUCUAGAGUACAGGAGGGGAAAGUGGAAUUCCUAGUGUAGCGGUGAAAUGCGUAGAGAUUAGGAAGAACACCGGUGGCGAAGGCGACUUUCUGGACUGUAACUGACGCUGAGGCUCGAAAGCGUGGGGAGCAAGCAGGAUUAGAAACCCUUGUAGUCC
Molecule: ribosomal RNA, 425 nt
Filed under: uncultured bacterium
Lineage: Bacteria
Description: partial 16S ribosomal RNA
Rfam family: Bacterial small subunit ribosomal RNA
Source: RNAcentral